CCUACGGGAGGCUGCAGUGAGGAAUAUUGGUCAAUGGCCGAAAGUCUGACCCAGCCAAGUCGCGUGAGGGAAGACGGCCCUACGGGUUGUAAACCUCUUUUGUCGGGACGCAAAGCGACCCACGUGUUGUUCAUUGAGCGUCCCCGAAUAACAAGCCUCGGCUCACUCCGUUCCCUCAGCCGCGGUAAUACAGCGGAUGAAAGCGUUGUCCGGAUUUUUUGGGUUGAAAGGGUGCGAAGACGGAGGGGCAAGUAAGAGGUAAAAUUGCGGGGGUAAACCCCGUACUGCCGUUGAAACUGCAUCCCUUGAGUGCGCGAGAGGCAUGCGGAAUGCGUGGUGUAGCGGUGAAAUGCAUAGAUAUUACGAAGAACGCCGAUGGCGAAGGCAGCAUACCGGAGAGCAACUGACGCUCAGGCACGAAAGCGUGGGGAUCGAACAGGAGUAGAUACCCUAGUAGUC
Molecule: ribosomal RNA, 459 nt
Filed under: uncultured bacterium
Lineage: Bacteria
Description: partial 16S ribosomal RNA
Rfam family: Bacterial small subunit ribosomal RNA
Source: RNAcentral